CAUCUGCGAAAAAUUUAAUUAAGCAACUUUUAAUUCAUUAUAAUUGCUCAAGCUUUUCCGUCAAGUCAAAUCUGCCAUUUUCCAAUUUUUGUGUGUAUAGUCUUUAGUUUUGAUUCUCCCAGUCGCAGGUUGUUCUUUAUAAAGUUCCCGGGACAGUUUACAACGACUUUUCGUCUUUUUUUGUUGGUUUUUUGAUAGAUUUUCUAAAAUUGUAAACUGUCAAAUUUGAAAGUGCGCGCGCAUGCGCUUCGUCAGUUGAACCUUUUUGACUAAUAUCAGUAAUGCCAAGCUAGUAUAAAAGACUUUCAAUUCAAUAUUCCUUAUUUAUUUUCUCUAAUUCUCCAAUUUUUGUGUCCAACAUUACUUAGUGGGGCAGAAUUCAAAGAAAAAUUAAAAGUGGGAGAUGCAACAAAAACGACAGACUCAUUAUUUUAUGAAAUAACGGGAAAAAUUGACAGCAGCUUAUCUCAAUUGCCACAAAUUUUGUUUAUUUAUUAUUAUUUUUUGGCAAAAACUUUUACGGAUUUUGGACGCACUUCUGUCCUGGAACGCGUUAUUACCGAAUGUUUUGUGUCUAAAUUCAAAUUCAUUCUUUACUAAAAGACACUUCAAGUCAAAAAUAAGCUUCUCGUAAGUAAGCUUAGUGGAAGAAGGCACUUAUACCGAAAAAAUUAUUUGCGUAAUGUGCCAUUUGUUGCUUUUUCGGCAGUGUUUUCUGGAAGUACAAGAAGGAAAACACAGUUUUUGCUUUCACGAGCGUAAGUAACUUCCUAAUACAUGAAUUUCUCAAAUAUCGUCAGAAUUUUUUAUUUUUGGAAUUGCGUUAAUUUAUUGCUUUGGAAUACAAACCCAUCUUUAACGAGUGCCACACUUCCAAUCAUGUGCGGGUCAUCUGGGUCUGGACUGACGGUAACCUCCAUCAACUUGACAUACUUCCAAGCAGAUUCAGGACUGAUGCGGGCCCGGAGCUGCAGCUUAGUACCAAUGGGUACUGCCUGAUCCACUGGAAGCUCACUAUUCGUGGCAUUGCUGAUUCUGGCUGGAGCUUCCUUGUAAAGAGCUACUUCGUACUCCAGACGACCUGGAGUUUCUUCAACCACUCCCGAAACCCGGGCUCCAUGAGGACUAGUUUUUAGUCUACAAAUAUGGUGAACAAGUCGUAGCAGCAUACCCUACAAGUUUAGAAGACAAUCUAAAAGAAAACUACCAUUGCAAAAAAUUACGAGGUUAGAAAAAUCUUAAUUGGGAAAAUUUUACACGGGAUUGGUUUACACAGCUCCAUUGUUACACCAAAACGGAUUUUAAUUGAAGCUGCACACAGCCUCACUUUACGUUUGACGGAAUUAUUACAGUUGGUUGCAAUUCGGAAAUUCCGAAAAUGUCGUAGCAAGAGUUAAACAUUUUUGUAAUUUGGAUACGGAUUGUUUUCAAAAAAGAUGGAACGGACUCCGGAAACGCCGGAGGCCCGCAAUUUAUCCCACAUUUCCGGUACGACGAACUAGGAAAAUAAACAACUUUGAAGCUGGAUAAUUAGGUUGGAGCCUUGCGUGCGAGUGUCAACAGUUUUAGACAAUUCUAUUAUUAAAUACCUAUUUAUUGUGGCACAAAAGACGGCAAAGUAGCGCUUUUUUAAGCACAAGGACUUGUAGUAAUUAGUUUCAGAAAAACAAUGAAAUUUAAAGUGAUACACUUAUCUCAUGUUUUUUUUAAUUACCAAACGAUUUUUCAAAAUAAUCAGUAAUUUAACCGAAAUAAUGAAGGACGCUGAUAAAAUUCACCAUUAUCUUCACAAGCUCGCAAAGAUAAAAUAAAAUUGUAUCCUCGUACAUAAUAAAAAAUGUAGGUAAUGGUACUAACGCUAAAACUGUUUCAUAGGUUUAUGAAAAAAAAAUAUUUGAAAUUAAUUUAAAACGCUGGAAGCGGCUUCAUUUUUCCUCCGCUGCACUUUAUUUUUGAGUACAGAAUCGAGUUAUCUGUACCUCGUUUCGCUUCCUGGUAGUUGAAGGAAAACAAAAAAUGCGGUUUUGGUCACCCGAUUUUUGUAGUAAUUACUGCGGUUGUCGUAACAACGAAAAAAAAUAAACAAACUUGUUCAUCAAUUUUUAUUUCUGUGUAAAUAACCGAACCAAGCAAAAAUCCCAGCUUGGCAAAUAAACCACAUUAAUUAACUCAGCAAGCAAGUAAUAAAUAUACAAUUAGCUGCUUGUAAACGCUUGCCUCGAAUUUUUCAUCGUUCGUUUUAAUAAUAGUCCGCCACCUCCGAAUCCUCCUCCUUCGAUCGCUUAUCAAUCUCUGCUGCUGCCCCCGGGGGCGGCACAGUGUCGUUUUGACGUGUCGAUAAUAAUUUCGCAAAUAAAUCGUUGGGAGGUGUUUAUUCUUGGCGCGCUCACGUCAACCCGAAAAAAUUUAUUAUAACGGGAACCGCGUGUAUCGACGUGUGUGUGCGUAGGUAGGUAUAUAAAGCGCGACGUCGAAAAUUCGAUUUAUUACUAAAGUUCGGAGGGUCCACAACGAAUUUUUCAACAACGCAUUUGGAGUUUCUGUUCUGGAUGUACAGUAAAAGUGGUGAGAUCCGUCGAGACGAGGCCUGCCUUGACUACAGCGGUCAAGAGGUGAUUCUGUACCCGUGUCACGGCAGCAAGGGCAACCAAUUUUGGGAUUACAACGCCAACAGCAAACUUUUAAGGCAUGGAAGUAGCGAUAAAUGUUUGGCCAUAAACGAAGCGAAAAAUAAACUACUAAUGGAGCCCUGCGACGAAGAGGCCACAAGGCAACACUGGUCGUUGGAGAACUACGACGCCAGCAAAUUGUGAUUGUUUUAGUUUAUGUGUGUGUGGCAAAAAGACGAGUAAAGUAAGUGUACAAAAGUUUUGUAUAAAUGAUCGGUUUUGCAGUUUUAUAACGAAUUGUAGAUUCUAGCAACGACUGUGUCUAUCAAUAUCUACAUAUCCAAUUGUUUUAGCGCUCAAUUGUUACAUUCCUUUACUUAAGACUGUAAAUAACUGGUUACAUAUCCAACAAAUAUCAUUUAAGCAAGCGGCCUGUGUAUAUAAUAACAAUUGAAAAGUACUUAAUUUCAUGGCAAAUUAUUUUCGAAAACGAUCAUGUGAUAAUUAGUCCUUUAAUUAUGUAAAUAAUUAUAUUAUUUGCUCAAUUUCGUUCCCUUUUACGUCAAUUACUCUUCAAAGGGCCAUAAAGCAGCGUUAUGUAAAUAACUCGCAGUAUUUUAUCCUGAUUUUAUUAUUACAUAAUCAUAAUGUACUUAAUAUAGUGUACUAGACAUGUAAAUGUAGGCCAGUGUAUGUAUUUUUAUAACGUGCCUUAUUUGUGUAUAUAAAACGUUAAUAACAUUAUGUUGAAAUCACCCCACAUCAAUUAUGUCUGCGACAGUACUCUGCUGGAGCGAGAUAAACUUAUACCGCUGUCGUAGAACAGAGCGAGACACAAAAUGUGUAUUACUGGUUGCCGGUAAGUUGGCGUUUAUUUUAUUAAAUUUAUUCUAGUAUAACCGGAAGAGUAAUUACUGAAUUUUUAACGUUGGAAAAAUUAUAUUGAAAUCAACAUCCCCCUUUUUUUAAGAAAAUACUCAGUUAAGCGAGAUCAACUUAUAGGUGUGUUGAAAGCUAAGGUGUGACACUGGUGUACUACUGGUUGCCUAUAAUUCUAUGUUUCGUGACGAUGUAAUGUAAUGUCAUCAACUGUCAAUUGUUUUUAAAAAUUUAAUUUAAAUCAAUUUAAUUUAAAAUAAAGCUAGCCCCAAUAAUAUUUUUCAUUAAAAAAUUAAAAUUCGGUCCUGUACAUCAUCGACACACGAUUAACUGUGAUUUUCAGAUUGGUAGUAUGACAAAUUUUGGUGCGAAAAUUAGUUGUAGCGUAUUUUAAUUAUGUUUUAUUAGCUAUAAACUUGUCCAAAAUAGCUUAAAAGGUGACAAAUAUGUUUGACUACAAAUUGACGAAUUAAUUUUCACACAACUGGUAAGUUUUAUCUAAAUACACAAUAACCGGCCCUCGUAUACGAUUUUAAACCACCCUCGUAUACAAUGAUUUCGUGUUGGCGCGCUUAAUUUCCACUAAAUACGUCACGAAAGUGACCAGGUUAUUGAUUUUCUCGAACCCCAAAUACGGGGGCAGUUUUAAAAAUGCUUGAAAUAUUAACUUUGUGGUGAAAAAGUGUCUUGCAGGACAAUUUUUCGAGUCUCAACACCCAGUGUGGCCACGCGUUAGAGGGCUGUUUGAAAUAAAUAUAAUUUUCGAUUUUUAAAAUGCAUUUAAUUUAAUGGCGGGAACAAUAAUUUUUGGGGCGCCCUCAUAUAAUGUGUUUUCAAAGUUGGUAGACUUGGUUUCCACUAAAACGUCACAAACGUCACGCGAUCGAUUUUCUGCUACGGGGGCGUUCUAAAAGUUAUUUAAAUUCUGGCUUUGGGGUAAAUAAAUGGUUUGCAGGACAUUUUUUAUAUUCUCAACCCCUUUGUUACACGCAGUGUGUCCACGUGUUAAAGGGCUGCUUGAAAAAAAUGUAAUUUUCUAUUUUUAAAAUGAAUAAAUUUAGUGUGCGGGCGAUGAAAUUUUUGAGGCGCCCUCGUAAACGGUGCAAAUUUGUCCGAACACGUGUACUUUUUUUGACAAGUACGUCAACUGUUGCGUGAGAGCGGCAGUUUUCGGGCGGCGGCCGGAGCGGUCGGACGUGUGUCUGUGCGUGCGUCUUGUUCGUUAAAUUAUUAAAUAAAUUAUUAAACCGCGACCGCGACGCGAAUUAAUUAAAGUGGUGCUGUGCUGUGCUGUGUUGUGCUGCGAAAUUUUAAGGAUAUUUUGUACAAAGGACCGUUUAACCAAAUUUUUAUCACAUGUGUUACUUCCACCUUCAAGGGUUGCCCAACACGAAUGCAAAGAUUGCAUUAAACAGUCGUUCAUUGCAAUUUCCACUUGGAGUUAUGAAUUUUGAGAGCUCAAAAGCUGGUGCCUGUGUUGAAUUGCUUUACAAACUGUUGCGGCCUGCGGGAUUCGGAGGAUUUCAAAGGCGUUCUUCGUCUGGUUCUUCAGAAAUUAUUUUUUAACUGACAAUAAUUAUCAUUAAACGUUGUUAUAUUUGUGUGAUUGAUUAUGUUUUUUUUAAUAAACGCUAAGGAAAUGUGUCUUUUAUUGGGGGGCAAAUACAAGUUCAAUAAAUUAUAGGCAUUUUUGAGCUAAAAAAAAUAAAUAGAAGAAAAAGGUAAGUGGAAAAAUAAUGUACAAUUACAGUGUUUAAAAAAAUCGCGCUAAAUCAAAUUAUUUUAAAUCGGUUUUUCCGCGCUAAACUAGAUUUAAAAGGUUUGUGAAUACGUGUUGUCAAUCAUUAUGAAAUUAAAAAUCGUACUAAACCGGUAAUUUAAAAAAUGGCGCGGACACGUGCACUUAAACGGUAAAUAAAUUUAAAAAAUGGCGCGGACAGGUGCUAAUUGGUAAAUAAAUUUAAAAAAAAUGGCGCGGACACGUGCUAAUUGGUAAAUAAAUUUAAAAAAAAAAUGGCGCGGACAUGUGCACUUGAACGGUAAAUAAAUUAAAAAAAAUCGUGCGGACACGUGCACUAAAUCGGUAUAUAAAAAAAAUGGCGCGGACACGUGCUAAUAGGUAAAUAAAUUUAAAAAAAAAUGGCGCGGACAUGUGCACUUGAACGGUAAAUAAAUUAAAAAAAAUCGUGCGGACACGUGCACUAAAUCGGUAUAUAAAAAAAUGGCGCGGACACGUGCACUUAAACGGUAAAUAAAUUAAAAAAAUCGCGCGGACACGUGCACUUAAUCGGUAAAUAAAAAAAAAUGGCGCGGACACGUGCACUAAAUCGGUAAAUAAAUUUAAAAAAUCGCGCGGACACGUGCACUAAAUCGGUAAAUAAAAAAAAUGGCGCGGACAGGUGCUAAUUGGUAAAUAAAUUUAAAAAAAAUGGCGCGGACAUGUGCACUUGAACGGUAAAUAAAUUAAAAAAAAUCGCGCGGACACGUGCACUAAAUCGGUAAAUAAAAAAAAUGGCGCGGACAGGUGCUAAUUGGUAAAUAAAUUUAAAAAAAAAUGGCGCGGACAUGUGCACUUGAACGGUAAAUAAAUUAAAAAAAAUCGCGCGGACACGUGCACUAAAUCGGUAAAUAAAAAAAAUGGCGCGGACACGUGCUAAUAGGUAAAUAAAUUUAAAAAAAAAUGGCGCGGACAUGUGCACUUGAACGGUAAAUAAAUUAAAAAAAAUCGUGCGGACACGUGCACUAAAUCGGUAUAUAAAAAAAUGGCGCGGACACGUGCACUUAAACGGUAAAUAAAUUAAAAAAAUCGCGCGGACACGUGCACUUAAUCGGUAAAUAAAAAAAAUGGCGCGGACACGUGCUAAUAGGUAAAUAAAUUUAAAAAAAAAUGGCGCGGACAUGUGCACUUGAACGGUAAAUAAAUUAAAAAAAAUCGUGCGGACACGUGCACUAAAUCGGUAUAUAAAAAAAUGGCGCGGACACGUGCACUUAAACGGUAAAUAAAUUAAAAAAAUCGCGCGGACACGUGCACUUAAUCGGUAAAUAAAAAAAAAUGGCGCGGACACGUGCACUAAAUCGGUAAAUAAAUUUAAAAAAUCGCGCGGACACGUGCACUAAAUCGGUAAAUAAAAAAAAUGGCGCGGACAGGUGCUAAUUGGUAAAUAAAUUUAAAAAAAAUGGCGCGGACAUGUGCACUUGAACGGUAAAUAAAUUAAAAAAAAUCGUGCGGACACGUGCACUAAAUCGGUAUAUAAAAAAAAUGGCGCGGACACGUGCUAAUAGGUAAAUAAAUUUAAAAAAAAAUGGCGCGGACAUGUGCACUUGAACGGUAAAUAAAUUAAAAAAAAUCGCGCGGACACGUGCACUAAAUCGGUAAAUAAAAAAAAUGGCGCGGACACGUGCUAAUAGGUAAAUAAAUUUAAAAAAAAAUGGCGCGGACAUGUGCACUUGAACGGUAAAUAAAUUAAAAAAAAUCGCGCGGACACGUGCACUAAAUCGGUAAAUAAAAAAAAUGGCGCGGACACGUGCUAAUAGGUAAAUAAAUUUAAAAAAAAAUGGCGCGGACAUGUGCACUUGAACGGUAAAUAAAUUAAAAAAAAUCGUGCGGACACGUGCACUAAAUCGGUAUAUAAAAAAAUGGCGCGGACACGUGCACUUAAACGGUAAAUAAAUUAAAAAAAUCGCGCGGACACGUGCACUUAAUCGGUAAAUAAAAAAAAAUGGCGCGGACACGUGCACUAAAUCGGUAAAUAAAUUUAAAAAAUCGCGCGGACACGUGCACUAAAUCGGUAAAUAAAAAAAAUGGCGCGGACAGGUGCUAAUUGGUAAAUAAAUUUAAAAAAAAUGGCGCGGACACGUGCUAAUUGGUAAAUAAAUUUAAAAAAAAAAUGGCGCGGACAUGUGCACUUGAACGGUAAAUAAAUUAAAAAAAAUCGUGCGGACACGUGCACUAAAUCGGUAUAUAAAAAAAAUGGCGCGGACACGUGCUAAUAGGUAAAUAAAUUUAAAAAAAAAUGGCGCGGACAUGUGCACUUGAACGGUAGAUAAAUUAAAAAAAAUCGCGCGGACACGUGCACUAAAUCGGUAAAUAAAAAAAAUGGCGCGGACACGUGCUAAUAGGUAAAUAAAUUUAAAAAAAAAUGGCGCGGACAUGUGCACUUGAACGGUAAAUAAAUUAAAAAAAAUCGUGCGGACACGUGCACUAAAUCGGUAUAUAAAAAAAUGGCGCGGACACGUGCACUUAAACGGUAAAUAAAUUAAAAAAAUCGCGCGGACACGUGCACUUAAUCGGUAAAUAAAAAAAAAUGGCGCGGACACGUGCACUUAAUCGGUAAAUAAAUUAAAAAAAUCGCGCGGACACGUGCACUAAAUCGGUAAAUAAAUUUAAAAAAUCGCGCGGACACGUGCACUAAAUCGGUAAAUAAAAAAAAUGGCGCGGACACGUGCUAAUUGGUAAAUAAAUUUAAAAAAAAAUGGCGCGGACAUGUGCACUUGAACGGUAAAUAAAUUAAAAAAAAUCGCGCGGACACGUGCACUAAAUCGGUAAAUAAAAAAAAUGGCGCGGACACGUGCUAAUAGGUAAAUAAAUUUAAAAAAAAAUGGCGCGGACAUGUGCACUUGAACGGUAAAUAAAUUAAAAAAAAUCGUGCGGACACGUGCACUAAAUCGGUAAAUAAAAAAAAUGGCGCGGACAGGUGCUAAUUGGUAAAUAAAUUUAAAAAAAAAAUGGCGCGGACAUGUGCACUUGAACGGUAAAUAAAUUAAAAAAAAUCGUGCGGACACGUGCACUAAAUCGGUAUAUAAAAAAAAUGGCGCGGACACGUGCUAAUAGGUAAAUAAAUUUUAAAAAAAAUGGCGCGG
RNA transcript from Tribolium castaneum (red flour beetle), 8348 nucleotides. It is a transcript of the gene named putative polypeptide N-acetylgalactosaminyltransferase 9, with no coding region annotated. The record is from RefSeq and is a predicted model, not a curated record. The transcript has 10 exons. Lineage: Eukaryota; Metazoa; Arthropoda; Insecta; Coleoptera; Tenebrionidae.